UAUAUAUUUUGGAGAUGAAGCCCUUGUCACUUGCAUCAUUUGCAACUAUUUCUACCAUUCUAUAUGUUGUCUUUUUGUUUUUUCUUUUAAUGGUUUCCUUUGAUGUGCAAAAUCUUGUAAGUUUGAUUAGAUCCCAUUGGUUUAUUUUUGUUUUUAUCUCUAUUGCCUUGGUAGACUGGCUUAAGAAAACAUUUGUAUGGUUGAUGUCAGAGAAUGUUUUGCCUACGUCCUCUUCUAGGAGUUUUAUGGUGUCUUGUCUUAUGUUUAAGUCUUUACAUCAUUUUCAGUUUAUUUUUGUGCAUGGGGUGAGGGUGUAUUCCAGUUUCAUUGACUUAACAUGCAUCUGUCCAGUUUUCCCAGCACCACUUGCUGAAAAAACUGCUUUUCCCCCCAUUAUUGAUUAAUUGACUGUAGUAUCUGGGUUCUCUAUUCUGUUCCAUUGGUCUGUAUGUCUGUCCUGGUACCAGUACCACACUGUCUCUUUUACUGUGGCUUUGUAGUAUAGCCUGAAGUCUGGGAGUGUUAUGCCUCCUGCUUGUUUCCUAAAUAUUGCUUUGGUUCCAUAUAAAUUUUUGGAUUGUUUGUUCUAGUUCUGAGAAAAAUAUCACAGGUAAUUUGAUAGAGAUUGCAUUGAAUCUGUAGAUUGCUUUGAGUAGUAUGGCCAUUUUUACAAUAUUAAUUUUUCCAAGCUAGGAGCAUGAAAUAUCUUUCCAUUUCUUUGAAUCCUCUUUAAUUUCUUUGAUCAAUGUUUUAUGGUUCUCAGUAUAUACGCCUUUCACUCCUUGGUCAGGUUUAUUCCUAAGUAUUUAAUUUUGUGGGAUGAGAUUUUAGAAGGUAUUUUUAAAUAUUUCUUUUCUAAUAUUUCAUUGUUAGUGUACAGAAAUGUGACCAAUUUCUGAACGUUAAUCUUGUAUCCUGCUACUUUGCUGAAUACACUGAUCAGUUUGAGUAGUUUUUGGGUUGAGUCCUUAGGGUUUUCUAUAUAUAGUAUCAUGUCAUCUGCAUACAGUGACAAUUUUACCUCUUCUCUUCCAAGUUGGAUACUUUUAUUUCUUUUGUUUGUCCAAUUGCUGUGGCUAGGACUUAAAAUACUGUGUUGAAUAAAAGUGGUAAGAGUGGUGAUCCUUGUCCCAUUCCAGAUUUUAGCAGAAAGGCUUUAAGCUUUUCCACAUUGAGUAUAAUAUUGGCUGUAGGUUUGUCAUAAAUGGCUUUAAUUCUGUUAUGUUCCCUUUGUACCCACUUUGGUAAGAGUUUUUAAAAUGAAUGGAUGCCAGGUUUUGUUAAAUGCUUUUCCUGCGUCUAUUGAGGUGAUGAUAUAGUUUUUGACUUUUCUUUUGUUAAUGUGGUACAUGAUGUUGAUUGAUUUGUGUAUGUUGAACCAUCCUGUCAACUUGGGAUGAAUCCCACUUGGUUGUGGUGUAUGAUUUUUUUUAUGUGUUGUUGAAUUUUGUUGGCUUAAAUUUUGUUAAGAUUUUUUUGCAUCUAUAUUCAUUAAAGUCUAUGAUUUUCUUUUUUGGUAGUAUCUUUGUCUGGUUUUGGUAUUAGGGUGAUGGUGACUUCAUACAAUGUUUUUGGGAAUUUUCCUUCUUCAGUCUCUUGGCAAAGUUUAAGAAGGAUGAGUAUAUGUUCUUUGUAUAUUUGGUAUGAUUCACCUUUGUCUCUUGUAUGAUAUCUCGAACUUUAGGUUUUUUUUUUUUUUUUUUCUUUGAUGAUGUCCUUUGGAUCUACCAUAUGCAUGUAUGAUUCAGGGAUUAUCCAGGUACUUUGGAAGAUGGUGUGUACACAUCUGGGUCUCUCCCUCUCUAAAUCAUUCCUUGUAGGGAAUUUCCAUUCACUUUUCAGUAGCUGUGGUUUCCCUAGAUUUUGUUCCUUGGUGCUUUUCUUCAAAAUAUACUUGAUUUUUCUAUUAAAGAUUUUGUUUCCCUGCACGACAUUAACUUCAUCCUGCCUUUAGACAGAAGGCAUACACACUUUUAAUUCACUUGUACCAAUCCCUUCUAUGAAAUCUCAGCUCCUAUCUAGAAAUUGAAUGCCUAAGUUUACUCCCUAGGACUUUUUGAUAUUUCAUUUUUGUUAUGUAUUUUAUCCAUGCUUUAUAAUUAUCUAUUGUGGGCUAGGGUAUGGUAGGAGAUUUCUUGUUCAUAUUAGAAGUGGAAACAUAAUUUACAAUAAAACUAAUUUCUUUUCUAAAAUGGAAAAACUAUGAUCUGCCCAUUUCCCAUGAAAUUUCAAAAUUUGGUGCUUAGAUUAUAUUUGGAAGAGAAUACAAACCCAGUUAAGCUCUACCAUGUAAAAAUCACCACAAAACUAUGUAAACAGGCUAAGCAUAACAUAAAAUAUAAUAUAUACUUCUGACAGAAUUCAGCUUCAAACUCAUUAUUAAUAUUUGAGGGGCCUGGGAUGAAUUCUGAGAUAUAACAUUAGAGAAUAGAUGAGGGAAAAAUUCAUCCAAGGCUUCUGAAAAUAGGUAUUAGCCCACUGAUGUUCUCUAAGAAUUUAAGUGGUUCUUUUAGGAACUCUAGCCCCCCAAAUAUCAUCUUGGAUGAAGUUCUCUAAUACUGACUCUAGAAUGGGGAGAGAGAAAGUAAUACUAAUAUACAUGAAUCCAGUGAUGAUGGUGGGAAAUAUUUAUUUAUGGAGAUAUGUUAGAUACCCAAAGAAGUAUUUAUGGAAAGAAGAACCACUAGUUUAAACUUCUACAUGAAGAGAAAGUGUGAAAGGAAAAGUUAUUAUAUAUAAUUGAGGAAUUCUGUACGGCUUAUAUAUUAGUUCUACAUGCAUGACUUCUAAAUCAUAAGCAGAAGGAGGAAAAUUUUUAAGAGAAAGGAAAGCUAACUUUUUGAUUUUUUUUAAAUGUAGAUGCUUCAGAGCCCAUUUUAUGUCUCCAACCUGUCUUAUUGCUGAUUACCCUGUGGCAAUCUGGACAGAACAGGAAUCUAAGAGGCUGACAGGGAGGGAACUAUACAGGGACUAGGGUCAUUUCCAAACCCUGGCCCACAGCUCAAAAACAAUUCAUUAAUCUUUGACAAGUAUAAAACUUAGUUGCUGGUGAUGUGAGAAAGUAAAUUAUUGAAGCUGAAUGUCCUUAUAGCCCAUGAGCUUGGAAAAGUAAAAUUACAUUUGGGUGCAUUCAUGAGGUGGACCAAGCUGGUUUACUGGUUUAAGCAUCUCUCCUGAUGGUGUACUUGCUGCUGGUGGGGACAUGGCCAUCUGUGAAAAGGUCUUUGAAAGGCUCCAGGAGAGCGCUGUGGUUCUCUGCCUAGAGGAGUCCCCAGCCAGGCAAACUUGGAGGGUCUAGAAUUUUAUUGGGAACCAGGGACUUGCCAUGACUCAAAGAAGCUUUUGCAGUUGCUCACUAUGGAGCCUCCCCUUGAGAAGUCUUCAUAUUUUUAUCCAGCUUAAUGUUUUAGUUGGCCUGAAGUCACUUUGGCUAGAGAUUUCUGCCUUUUCUUUAGGUUGUUUUCUGGAGAACAGAGUCACUCUUUCAGUUCUCUUUACGGAGGUCCCAGCAGCCUUCAGGCUGUAAUUGGGCCCUUUAAGCAUCUGUAGGCCUCUCUUUUUUUGAGAGAGAUGGCCAGAAUGGCCAAGGAUUUACUUAUUACUUCUGCAAGGAUAUUUAUCUGAACAAGUUAAUUAUUUUCCGGUUGCAAUAGAAGGAGUGAGUAGAAAUUCCCCCUUAGGAGGACACCCUCUAAAUUAUCUGCCUCUCAUCUUUUUAUAAUUUCUGAUCCCCUAAACUUUACCCAUCACCCAGUACUGUGUCACCAUAUGAUUUUUUGACAGCUAGUAUGUCAGGUUUCUCUAGUAAAAUAGAUGCUGACUAGGGUGUAGAGCUACUUUGGCAGAUAUGGAGGCAUCACUGGCCAUAGCCAGAUACCAAGGACACCCAAGCCUCGUGUAAAGGCAAUCAUACUCUUUCUCUCCUGUACUAACAGGAAAUAUUUUUUUCUCAGUACUAACAAUCUUUGUGAGAUAAAUUAUUUGCAACUAUUCUGGGGAGAUGGUUCUCUU
Molecule: long non-coding RNA, 4011 nt
Filed under: Sus scrofa (pig)
Lineage: Eukaryota; Metazoa; Chordata; Mammalia; Artiodactyla; Suidae
Description: lncRNA (ENSSSCG00000054154.1)
Source: RNAcentral